UACGAAGGGUGCAAACGUUGCUCGGAAUCAUUGGGCGUAAAGCGCACGUAGGCGGCUUCAAAAGUCGGAUGUGAAAUCCCACGGCUCAACCGUGGACGUGCAUCCGAAACUGGGAGGCUUGAGUACUGAAGAGGAUCGCGGAAUUCCCGGUGUAGAGGUGAAAUUCGUAGAUAUCGGGAGGAAUACCAGUGGCGAAGGCGGCGACCUGGGCCAAUACUGACGCUGAGGUGCGAAAGCGUGGGGAGCAAACAGG
Molecule: ribosomal RNA, 253 nt
Filed under: uncultured bacterium
Lineage: Bacteria
Description: partial 16S ribosomal RNA
Rfam family: Bacterial small subunit ribosomal RNA
Source: RNAcentral